RNAcentral lists this long non-coding RNA (1237 nucleotides) under Anas platyrhynchos platyrhynchos (common mallard). Its description in RNAcentral is "lncRNA (ENSAPLG00000026415.1)". The record is from RNAcentral. Lineage: Eukaryota; Metazoa; Chordata; Aves; Anseriformes; Anatidae.
AUGGGGCCUCAGGUAGCACUUCCCUGGGGAAUUUGUGGUGAAGCCUGCGGCUGGCCAGAGUUGUGGAGGACACCAAAUGUGGCGAGGCAAAACCUGAAAGGUUUGGGCUCGUUUCCAUCUGCCAAACUCAGUCUGAAUCAAGCACAAAAAGAUAGACAGACCAUAAAAUACUUCAUCUUCCCAGAAGAGCAGCCACAAGACAGGAUUCAGGAGAUGGGGUCAGCACCCAGCCAGCUUCUGCCCAUGUGUGAAUUCCAGCUCGUCAGAUCCUGCUCAUCUCGGGGCUCGCCCCAUCGCUUUCGUGCCCCACUUUGGUUACAGUGCUUGGACCAAGCUUGUCCCUGAUCAUUUCCAGUCCGAAGCACAUGUGUUGUGUAGGAUCUCUCUGCGGUGAGAGGAGGUGUAGACAGGACCUGCACAACUAUUUCAGGCUUCGAUGCCACAUUGCUAACAGGUAGUGAGAUAAAUCCCACAUUACAUUCUCUCUCCAGCCAGUGAAAACAGAAGGAUGCCUUACAGAAGUGAACUUCAGUCUUCAAAUAGCCUAACGCUUCCUGAAACUGCCCAUCUCUUGGUAUCAACUGAGAGGACAACUGGACUGGCUUGCAUCAUCUUAAUUUAGCUGCUUCCAUGAGGUGCCUCCAUUGCAUUUCUGCAAGCAGGUGUACCCUGCAAAACAACCUUUGGUUCAAGUUGGGUCCCCAAACAAUAUCGCAACAGCAAUUUCCAUCAUUAUAAACACAUACACAAUCGAAGUAAUGGAGAAUUACAAUAUAUGAAACUUAUUGUCUUUAGAGUAUUCCUCCCUUGUUCUCCAUGCUGAAAUUCAGUGGCUGGAUUUGGCCCCAAGUCUUCAGCCUGCGAUAGCUGAGCAGACAGAUAACUGCUGGAAUCCCUCUUGGAAAAUUUUCCCAUUUCUGAUGAACAACACGAACUGAUUUAGCUUGGAGUAAUCCACUGCCAAUACCCAAGGUGAUGUCCUUCCUGUGCCCUUGCUUCUGUCAUCCUGCUGAAAUGCAAUAAUGGCCAGCCACCUGCAACUUGUUUUGAUGCCGCUGAUAUUUCUUAUUCUCUUUGCUGCUGCCUGAGGGUAUGCACCAAUCUGUUAAUACAUAUAUAAAUAUUAUCCUUGUUAAUCCCUCAGAGAAAAAUAACAUCAACAAAACUUAUUACCAUUUCCUGUGUGGCUGACUGAAUAAUGUGAACCAGAUGAUGUUUAUAUUUAAAAAAUGAAAAU